GAGAUCCCACCUCCACCUCCCAGUCAGACUUAACACCUGAGAACUCCUCUAAAUGACUGUAGGAGCAGGUGGGUCUAGACUCCGCCCACCGCCACGACACCGACCAGAGAGGAAGAGAGAAGUGAUGAAGGGAGGAGCAAAUGGGGGGGAGGUGAAGAAGGGGAGGAGGGGGAGGAGGGAGGACUCUUCCCUUCAGCUCUGAUACAGUGUGUGUGUGUGUGCGUGCGUGCACUAACCCUAUAGUGGAGCUGAAACGAGCUCCUAUUGGCUGAUUGAACAUCAGCUGACUGACCUUUUCAUCAAGUGUCAGAAUCGUGUCCAUGUGACGGCGAGAUCACGGAAAGAGUGGCGGUCUGAUUCGUCCCCGCUCCCUGGACGGCGUUUUUCAGUCACAGAUGGUUAGAAGGAACCCGGGGAUCGUUCUGCCGCCGUUUCACCUUAGCUAGAGGCCCCGUGAGGACGCUCCACGCCGUCUGAUGUCUCCACUUAGGACAGAGCGCCGGGUCAUGGCGAAGGCGGCGUCACAUCAGAGGCCGAGGUCUGAAACACGUCUUUGUGUUUCUUCGUUUUUUUGUUCACGCCGUUGUCUGUUUAUGGCGGUGUGUGUUUAUGGCGUUGUGCGUUUAUGGCGGUGUGUGUUUAUGGCGGUGUGUGUUGGUGUCAGCGGCGGUCUCUGGGGCGUGCGUGUUAACCGUCCUCUGGGUGCGUUCACAGCGAGCGGCUCACGCGCUCAGUGACAAAGUGUUGAGGUUGCAUCUCUGUCGGGCGGCAGCGGCGGCGGCGGGAUUAGAAAACCCCUCUGAUGAUUGAUAGAUUUAUUUGUCAUCGCUGUCUGGACGGCGGCGGUUUACAGCACGCCAAAGCGGGGUCCAUUAAUCAGUGUAAAUAACACUCUGCUUAUACACACAUCAGGAGUCGGCG
Molecule: non-coding RNA, 921 nt
Organism: Xyrichtys novacula (pearly razorfish)
Lineage: Eukaryota; Metazoa; Chordata; Actinopteri; Labriformes; Labridae
Source: the annotation of a GenBank genome assembly